This 254-nucleotide ribosomal RNA is filed under the name uncultured bacterium. RNAcentral's name for it is "partial 16S ribosomal RNA". It matches the Rfam family "Bacterial small subunit ribosomal RNA", at positions 524 to 776 of the family's 1533-position model. The record is from RNAcentral.
UACGUAUGGGGCGAGCGUUGUCCGGAGUUACUGGGCGUAAAGGGCACGCAGGCGGUCGCGCAAGUGAGGGGUUACAGCUCCCGGCUCAACUGGGAGAGCGCCUCUCGGACUGCGGAGACUUGAGAGCCAGAGAGGGACACAGAAUUCCGGGUGGAGUGGUGAAAUGCGUAGAUAUCCGGAGGAAUACCAAAGGCGAAGGCAGUGUCCUGGCUGGUAUCUGACGCUGAGGUGCGAAAGCUAGGGGAGCGAACGGG